CCGAACGGGGGGGGCAAAGAAUGCUGUCGACCAUGAACCACUUCGGUGGGGAUUAGUGGCGAACGGGUGAGUAACACGUGGGCAAUCUGCCCUUCACUCUGGGACAAGCCCUGGAAACGGGGUCUAAUACCGGAUACGAGUUUCACGGGCAUCCGUGAUUCUGGAAAGCUCCGGCGGUGAAGGAUGAGCCCGCGGCCUAUCAGCUUGUUGGUGAGGUAAUGGCUCACCAAGGCGACGACGGGUAGCCGGCCUGAGAGGGCGACCGGCCACACUGGGACUGAGACACGGCCCAGACUCCUACGGGAGGCAGCAGUGGGGAAUAUUGCACAAUGGGCGAAAGCCUGAUGCAGCGACGCCGCGUGAGGGAUGACGGCCUUCGGGUUGUAAACCUCUUUCAGCAGGGAAGAAGCGAAAGUGACGGUACCUGCAGAAGAAGCGCCGGCUAACUACGUGCCAGCAGCCGCGGUAAUACGUAGGGCGCAAGCGUUGUCCGGAAUUAUUGGGCGUAAAGAGCUCGUAGGCGGCUUGUCACGUCGGGUGUGAAAGCCCGGGGCUUAACCCCGGGUCUGCAUUCGAUACGGGCUAGCUAGAGUGUGGUAGGGGAGAUCGGAAUUCCCUGGUGUAGCGGUGAAAUGCGCAGAUAUCACGGAGGAACACCGGUGGCGAAAGGCGGAUCUCUGGGGCCAAUUACCGACCCCUG
Molecule: ribosomal RNA, 700 nt
Filed under: Streptomyces bacillaris
Lineage: Bacteria; Bacillati; Actinomycetota; Actinomycetes; Kitasatosporales; Streptomycetaceae
Description: bacterial SSU rRNA
Rfam family: Bacterial small subunit ribosomal RNA
Source: RNAcentral